RNAcentral lists this ribosomal RNA (245 nucleotides) under uncultured Ktedonobacter sp. RNAcentral describes it as "partial 16S ribosomal RNA". It matches the Rfam family "Bacterial small subunit ribosomal RNA", at positions 524 to 768 of the family's 1533-position model. The record is from RNAcentral. Lineage: Bacteria; Bacillati; Chloroflexota; Ktedonobacteria; Ktedonobacterales; Ktedonobacteraceae.
UACGUAGGGGGCGAGCGUUGUCCGGAGUUACUGGGCGUAAAGGGCACGCAGGCGGUGCGGCGCGUGUCGCGUGACAGCGGGUGGCUUAACUGCCCGAGGGUGCGACAGACGGCCGGACUUGAGGGCCAGAGAGGGACCUGGAAUUCCGGGUGGAGUGGUGAAAUGCGUAGAUAUCCGGAGGAACACCAAAGGCGAAGGCAGGGUCCUGGCUGGUGACUGACGCUGAGGUGCGAAAGCUAGGGGAG